This is a non-coding RNA of Oryzias latipes (Japanese medaka), 9087 nucleotides long. Lineage: Eukaryota; Metazoa; Chordata; Actinopteri; Beloniformes; Adrianichthyidae. The record is from RefSeq and is a predicted model, not a curated record.
CGCCGGCUGGGAGCACAAAAGGCGGAGCCGCACUUGAACGCAGCAGCAGCAAACUUUAAAGCGGAGGUGCGGCGUCUCGGUGGACACACGGCGGGACCUCAGCGCGCGCUCAGCGGCCCACUUCUGCCUCACAGAACCGAACCGGAACGCCAGCGGACAUGCCUGCCACAGAGAAGGACCUGGCGGAGGACGCCCCCUGGAAGAAGAUCCAGCAGAACACCUUCACGCGCUGGAUCAACGAGCACCUGAAGUGCGUCAACAAGCGGAUCAUGGACCUGCAGACCGACCUGAGCGACGGCCUGCGCCUCAUCGCCCUGCUGGAGGUGCUGAGCCACAAGAGCAUGUACAGGAAGUACCACCCGAGGCCCACCUUCAGGCAGAUGAAGCUGGAGAACGUGUCAGUGGCCCUGGAGUUCCUGGAGCGGGAGAACAUCAAGCUGGUCUCCAUAGACUCCAAAGCCAUCGUCGAUGGGAACCUGAAGCUGAUCCUGGGUCUGGUCUGGACUCUGAUCCUGCAUUACUCCAUCUCCAUGCCCAUGUGGGAUGGCGAGGAUGAGGAGGCGGAGUCAAAGACGCCGAAACAGCGGCUCCUGGGCUGGAUUCAGAACAAAGUUCCUGAUCUGCCCAUCACCAACUUCAGCCAGGACUGGAGGGACGGCCGCGCCCUGGGAGCGCUGGUGGACAGCUGCGCACCAGGUCUGUGUCCAGACUGGGAGACCUGGGAUUCGGUGAAGCCGGUGGACAACGCCACUGAGGCCAUGCAGCUGGCUGAUGAUUGGCUGGGAAUCCCACAGGUGAUCGCCCCGGAGGAGAUCAUCGACCCCAGCGUGGACGAGCAGUCCGUCAUGACCUACCUGUCCCAGUUCCCCAAGGCCAAGCUCAAACCCGGAGCUCCGCUCAAACCCAAACUCAACCCCAAGAAGGCCCGAGCGUACGGACCCGGAAUCGAACCCACGGGGAACAGGGUUCUACGUCCUGCAGUGUUUACCGUGGACACGUUCAGCGCCGGUCAGGGGCAGGUCACGGUCUACUUGGACCAUCCUGACGGCACCAGGGAGGAGCUGAAGGCGGAGCCUAACGAGGGCAAGAAAACCCUCAGCGUCACCUACAUACCUCAGGUCAUGGGACCUCAUAAGGUGACGGUGCUGUUUGCGGGUCAGCAGAUUCCCAAAAGCCCGUUUGAGGUGAACGUGGACAAGGCGCUGGGCGACGCCUCCAAGGUCACAGUGAAGGGUCCCGGAAUUGAACCUGUGGGCAACAUCGCCAACAAACCCACCUACUUUGACAUCUUCACUGCAGGCGCUGGCACUGGAGACGUCACCGCCAUGGUCCGGGACCCUCAAGGUCGCCAGAACAGCGUGGAGGUGAUGAUGGAGGACAAAGGGGACAGCGUGUACCGCUGCACAUAUCGGCCCACGCUUCCGGGACCGCACACCGUCUCCGUCACCUUUGGGGGGGUGGGAGUCCCCAGAAGCCCCUUCACUGUGGACGUGGGUCCGGGUGAGGAGACGGUGUCUCUUUGUGUCGAAACCUCAGCAGUCGUGUGGCUCAUGAGUGACGGCUCUGUUUGCCUGCUGCAGCCUGCACGCCGGGCGCCUGCAGAGCCACGGGGCGGGGCCUGCAGCCGUCAGGCCUGAGGGUCGAGCAGGUCGGGGACUUCCGAGUGGACACCAGGAACGCCGGCAGUGGAGACCUGAAGGUGUUCAUCAAAGGACCCAAGGCCGCGGAGGAGCCGCUGAAGCUGGUCUCCAGUCAGAACGGCGUGUUCUCCUACGAGUACUACCCCAGCAGUCCCGGCCGGUACAGCGUGUCCAUCACCUGGGGGGGCCAGCACAUCCCAAAGAGCCCGUUUGACGUGGCGGUGGGUGCAAAGGCGGGGCCUCAGCAGAUCAGGGCCUGGGGCCCUGGCUUGGAGGGAGGCAUUGUGGGUAAAGCCGCCACCUUUGUCGUGGAGUCAAUCGGCCCGGAUGCAGGAGUUCUGGGUUUCGCCAUCGAAGGACCCUCCCAGGCUAAAAUUGAGUGCGAGGACCAAAACGACGGUUCAUGUGACGUCCGCUACUGGCCAACAGAACCUGGCGAGUAUGCCAUCCGUGUGACCUGCGACGAAGAGGACAUCGAGCUCAGCCCCUUCAUGGCCCACAUCGUCCCCGACACCAACGUCAACCACCCGGAGAAGGUCCAGGCUCAGGGACCAGGACUUGAGAAGAACGGCUGUCUGAUUAACCAACCUGCAGAGUUCACGGUCAGCGCCGAGAAUGCUGGGAAAGGACCUCUGACCAUCACAGCUCAGGACGCAGACGGGCUUCCUGUGGAGGUGAAGGUGCGCAGCAAAGGGGACGGCCUGUACAGGUGCGCCUACACGCCCACCUCCCCCCUCAAGCACACCGUGUCCGUCACCUGGGGAGGCGUCAGCAUCGCCGACAGCCCCUUCAGGGUCAACGUGGGGAGGGGGAGUCACCCCAACAUGGUGAAAGUGUUUGGUCCUGGAGUGGAGGACGGCCUGAAGGCCAACGAGCCCACUCACUUCACCGUGGAUUGUUCUGGAGCUGGAGACGGUGAUGUCAGCGUGGGCAUCAAGUGUGACGCCAACAUGGUCGGCGAGCGAGAGGCCGACGUGGAAUUUGACAUCAUUUCCAACGCCAACGACACGUUCACGGUCAAAUUCGUCCCUCCCGCCGCUGGGAGGCUCACCGUCAAAGUUCUGUUCAACGACAAGGAAGUUCCCAUGAGCCCCUUCGUGGUCAAAGUCAAUCCCUCCCACGAUGCAUCCAAGGUCAAAGUAGAAGGUCCAGGAGUGGCUCGCUCUGGUGUGGAGAGCGGGAAGCCGACCCAUUUCACCGUGUUGACCAAAGGGGCCGGAAAGGCCCCCCUGGAUGUCACCUUCUCCUCCAAGGUCAAAGACUUUGACAUCAUCGACAACUACGACUACUCCCAGACCGUCAAGUACACUCCUGUUCAGCAGGGAGAGAUGAACGUGGUCGUGACGUUUGGAGGAGAUGCCAUUCCCAAAAGUCCGUUCACGGUUGGAGUCGCUGCUCCGCUGGACCUCAGCAGGGUCACCGUGGACAACCUGGAUGCAAGAGUGGAGGUCAAUCAAAAGCAGGAGUUUUUGGUGGACACCAAGGGAGCAGGAGGUCAAGGUCAUCUGGAGGUGGAAGUGCUGAGUCCCAGCCAGAGGGCGGUACCGUGCAACGUCCGGCCGCAGGCGGGGAGAGCGGAUGCCAGCGUGGUCCGCUACACGCCGACGGAGGAGGGGGUCCAUGCCGUCAAGGUGUCCUACGACGGACACCCCGUGCCUGGGAGCCCCUUCCCGGUGGAGGCCAGCCUGCCCCCAGACCCCAGCAAGGUGAAGGCGUUUGGCCCCGGCCUGGAGGGAGGUCUGGUGGGAAACCCGGCUGAGUUCACCAUCGACACGACCGGCGCCGGCACCGGAGGUCUGGGUCUGACGGUGGAGGGACCGACUGAGGCCAAGAUCGAAUGUUCAGACAACGGCGACGGGACCUGCUCGGUGUCCUACCUCCCCACCGAGCCCGGGGACUACCUGGUCAACAUCCUGUUUGAGAACGCCCACGUCCCGGGCUCGCCUUUCAGAGCCGACAUCCAGAUGCCCUUUGACCCCUCCAAGGUGGUGGCAUCGGGGUCUGGGCUGAAGAGAGCCAAGGUUGGAGAAACCAGCGUCGUAAACGUGGACUGCACCCGCGCCGGACCGGGAGAACUGAGUCUGGAGGCAGCCCUGGACUCGCCGUCUUCAGGGAGGAAAGCCAAGACUGAGGUCAUCAGCAACAACGACGGCACGUUCACGGUCACCUAUGUUCCCACGACCGCCGGCAUGUACACGCUGCUGCUGAAGUACGGAGACCAGACGGUUCCCGGGUUCCCGGCCAAGGUCCCGGUGGACCCGGCGGUGGACACCUCCAGAGUGAAAGUGUUCGGACCCGGAGUGGACGGACAAGCUGUUUUCCGGGAAGCCACCACGGCGUUCACGGUGGACGCCCGAGCUCUGACCCGGCGAGGAGGAGACCACGUGAAGGCAGAGGUCAGGAACGCAUCAGGGAAGCUGACGGAAAGUGUGGUGACCGACAACGCCAACGGGACGUACGACGUGGAGUACACUCCCUACGAGAACGGCGUCCACAGCGUCCAGAUCCUCUACGACGACGCCCCCGUUCCCAAAAGCCCGUUCCGGGUGUCGGUGUCAGAGGGGUGCGAUCCCAGCAGGGUGGUGGCUUCUGGCCCCGGCCUCCUGGAGGGUCUGACUGAUCAGCCCAACCACUUCAACAUCGUUACCAGGGGGGCCGGUAUCGGGGGGCUUGGCAUCACUGUGGAGGGCCCCUCCGAGUCCAAGAUGUCCUGCAAAGACAACAAAGACGGCAGCUGCAGCGUGGAGUACGUCCCGUUCACCCCGGGCCUCUACGACGUGAACAUCACCUACGGCGGCGAGCACAUCCCAGGAAGUCCUUUCAAGGUCCAAGUGAAGGACAUCGUGGACCCCAGCAAGGUCAAGGUUUCCGGUCCAGGCGUGGGAUCAGGGGUCAGAGCAAAUAUCCCACAAUCCUUCACUGUAGACUGCAGGAAGGCGGGCGUAGCCCCACUGGCUGUGGCUGUCACCGCUCCGAAAGGCGUGGCAGAGCCCGUGGAGGUGACGGACAACGGGGACGGGACUUACACGGUCGCCUACACGCCGUCCGUGGAGGGAGCGUGCAGCGUGUCCAUCAAGUACGCAGAGGAGGACGUCCCCCGCAGUCCCUUCAGGGUUCGGGUUUUACCAACCCAUGAUGCCAGCAAAGUGCGGGCCAGCGGCCCGGGGUUAACCAGCGGCGUCCCUGCCAGCUUUCCCGUCGAGUUCAGCAUCGAUGCCAGAGAAGCCGGUCAAGGCCAACUGAGCGUGCUCAUAACCGACCCGGACGGUAACCCCAAGCAGCCUCGUAUCCAUGACAACGGGGGCGGUACAUACCUGGUGUCUUACAUCCCCGACCGAACUGGACGCUACACCAUCGUCAUCAAAUACGGGGGUGAUGACAUCCCGGCGUCGCCCUUCAGGGUCCGCGCCACAGCGACCGGAGACGCCAGCAAAUGCAGCGUCAGCGGGGUGGGUCCCACUGUGGCCAUCGGUCAGGAGAUGAGCCUGGCGGUGAACACGAAGGGGGCGGGAAAGGGGAAGGUGUGCUGCGUGGUGGUCCAGCCGGACGGCAGCGAGGUGGAAGCAGAGGUGGUGGAGAACCCUGACGGCACUUUUGACAUCUUCUACACGGCGCCAGCCCCCGGCAACUACGUCAUCUUUGUCCGCUUUGGCGGGGAAAACAUCCCACGCAGCCCCUUCAAAGUGAUGGCCACAGAUGAGCCGCCCGUCUCGCAAAAGCAAGCGCGGCAGCAGGCCUCUGCCGCUGGCGUCGGCUUCCAGCCAUGGGCGACCUCGGACAGCUUCCAGCUGGACAGCAGCAGCAUCAACGGCAGCGGCUUCAAGCCGUUUGACAUGGUCAUCCCGUUCUCCUUCAGUAAAGGAGAAGUGACCGGGGAGGUCCUGAUGCCCUCAGGGAAGUCUGCGCAGCCGCAGAUCACACACAAUGCAGACGGGACGUUCACUGUGCAAUACGCCCCCACCGAAGCCGGCCUGCACGAGAUGCACAUCAAAUACAACGACACGCACAUUCCAGAGUCGCCUCUUCAGUUCUACGUGAACCACGCCAGCAGCCCCAGUGUCACCGCCUACGGCCCCGGCCUGAGUUACGGCACCGCCAACAAGGUGGCCACCUUCACCGUCUACACGGAGGACGCCUCUGAAGGGGGUCUUGACUUGGCCAUCGAGGGUCCGUCCAAAGCGGACAUCAGCUGCGUGGACAACAAAGACGGGACGUGCACGGUUAGCUACCUGCCCACGCUGGCCGGACGCUACAACAUCCUGGUCAAAUACAACGACGAGCACAUCGCCGGCAGCCCCUUCACCGCCAGGAUCGCCGAGAAUAACCAGCGGCGCUCACAGGUGAAAGUGGGCUCAGCCGCAGAUUUCUGCCUGGACAUCAACGAGACGGACCUCAGCCUGCUGACCGCCAGCAUCAGGUCGCCCUCGGGCCGCGACGAGCCGUGUCUGCUGAAGAGGAUGCCCAACAACCACAUCGGCAUUUCCUUCAUCCCCCGUGAGGUCGGCGAGCACCAGGUCAGCAUCCUGAAGAACGGCCGACCCGUCCCCAACAGCCCCAUCACCAUCAUGGUGGUCCAGUCCGAGAUCGGUGACGCCAGUCGGGUCAAAGUUCACGGCGAUGGCCUGGUCCGGGGCACCACCUUUGAGGACGCCAGCUUUGUGGUCGACACGCAGGAGGCCGGGUACGGCGGUCUGGCUCUGGCCAUUGAAGGCCCGAGUAAGGUGGACAUUCAGACACAAGACCUGGAGAACGGCACCUGCGGCGUCACCUACUGUCCAACUGAACCGGGGAACUACAUCGUGUCCAUCCGCUUCGCCGAGCAGCACGUUCCAGGAAGUCCCUUUACGGUGCGAGUGACCGGCGAGGGCCGCAUACGGGAGAGCAUCAGCCGGCGCCAGAGGGCCGCGUCCCUCGCCAGUGUUGGAAGUGUGUGUGACCUUAACCUGAAGAUCCCAGUGAGUUGGUUCCUCCUGGUCUUGUCUCAACAACUCUUCUCUCACACCUCCUUCUGCUCCCUCUGGCUGCCGGGGGGGUCCCGCUGCGGCCCGGCUGGCAGCAGGGGGGCGAGCCAGAGCUGCUCUCCCGGGCGGGUCCGACUCAUUUCGGGCCUCUCUGGUCUGGUGCUGACGGGCGGAGCCAGAACGGCGCGCGGCGUCUGGGUGGCCGACGCCCCCGACUCAGGCGGACGUGUCGGGGCGGAGGCCAUCGACCCGCAGGAUGUCUCUGCCACCGUCACAGCGCCCUCUAGAGCCAGUCAGCCCGCUGAGCUGGUUGCUGUUGGCAACGACACCUACUCUGUGCGCUUCGUGCCAACCGAGAUGGGCGUGCACUGCGUGAGCGUGAAGUACAGGGGCGUGCACGUGCCCGGCAGCCCCUUUCAGUUCACCGUGGGCCCGCUGGGAGAGGGCGGGGCCGCCAAGGUGAAGGCUGGAGGUCCGGGGCUGGAGGGAGCCAUGGUUGGAGAGCCAGCUGAGUUUAGCAUCUGGACCAGGGAGGCCGGCGCUGGGGGGCUGUCGGUGGCGGUGGAGGGACCCAGCAAAGCGGACAUCUCCUUCGAUGACCGCAAAGACGGAACCUGCGGCGUGGCCUACGUCGCUCAGGAUCCCGGAGAUUACGAGGUUUCAGUCAAGUUUAACGAGCAGCACAUUCCCGAAAGCCCCUUCCUGGUUCCGGUCGUGGCGCCCGCCAACGACGCCCGGCGCCUCACUGUUGCCGGCCUUCAGGAGUCUGGUCUAAAGGUGAAUCACCCAGCAUCCUUUGCAGUGCACCUGAAUGGCGCGCAGGGCAAGAUGGAGGCCAAAGUGCACAGCCCCUCCGGAGCCCUGGAGGAGUGUGUGGUCACGGAGCUGGACCGAGACAUGCACGCCAUCCGCUUCAUCCCGAGGGAGAACGGCAUCCACACGAUUGACGUGAAGUUCAACGGCUCCCACAUCCCAGGAAGUCCUUUCCAGGUCCGAGUGGGAGAACCGGGACAAACUGGAGAUUCUAGUCUUGUCACUGCGUACGGAGCUGGACUGGAGAGAGGAACCACAGGAGUGCAGUCUGAGUUCAUCAUCAACACCAAAGCGGGUCCCGGGUCUCUGGCAGUGACCAUCGAGGGUCCGUCCAAAGUGAAGAUGGACUGUCAGGAGGUCCCGGAGGGCUACAAGGUGCAGUACACCCCCAUGGCCCCUGGAAACUACCUGAUCAGCAUCAAAUACGGAGGACCCAACCACAUCAGCGGCAGUCCCUUCAAGGCCCGGGUCACAGGUUCCCGCCUCAUAAGUGUGACCAACAUGAACGAGAUGUCGUCCCUGACUCUGGAUCCAGCCGUUCGAGCGUCCAGCAGCUUCGCUCAGAGCGCCGCGCCCAGACCCGGCGGCUCCGACGCCAGCAAGGUGGUGAGUCGGGGCCCCGGACUCAGCAAGGCCUCCGUGGGUCAGGGGGGCAGCUUCACCGUGGACUGCAGCAAAGCUGGGAAGAACAUGCUCCUGGUGGGCGUGUACGGCCCCCAAGCCCCCUGCGAGGAGGUUCUGGUCAAACACAUGGGGAACCUGCAGUACAACGUCACCUACACCCUGAAGGAACGUGGAAAUUACAUCCUGGUUGUGAAGUGGGGUGAAGAUCACAUCCCAGGAUCCCCGUUUAACGUUGUGGUUUCAUGAUGCAGCGUCCGUCUCCAGUCCAGAGGACAGAGCUUCUGCAUGAAGGGUUGGCAGGAUUUCUGACCACAAAGCUUCUCAAAGAACCCUAAGAAACCAUCAAAUCAUCUGAAAACACUAAAGAUCAGAACUCUGUGCGGCAGAAAGCGUCAUGAAAGCACAUUUCUGUCAGAAUCGGACGCAAAGAAACAAAAAAAAAGUCUCUACAUAAAGAAUGUUUCCCUGAAAUGAUCAAAUGUUUUUGCACUUGAUUUGAUUUGAAUGAAGCACGAUUGUAUUUUUUCUAAAUGUUCAAACGGAUUGAAAAACGAUGGAAACUGGAAAACGCCGCACUUUUACAGAAAGGACAGAUGGGAGACGAGCACGUCUGCGUCUUCUGUCCAACGAGCAUCUCAGCUGCAGAGAUCCCUGGAGGUCCAGCCCCAGAGGUCCACCCGUGUGCAACUACUGACCGCUGCUCGUGCCCAUCUCCGCCCAACUCCCAGAAGCCCUCACACACGGGUGUGGCAUCAGUCUGCCGACUCCUCAGCGCGGCGGACGACCGGUUCUGGGGAUCGAACCGCGAUCAGGCCAGGUGAUCCGCUGCACAUCCGGCCUCAGAGCGGACGGCCGUCGUCCUCGUCUUUGUGGCGUCACGUGAGGGCUGCUGCCUUUUCACUGCUACUUCGGAUACGGAAAGGUUUUUCCAUGGGGGGGAGGGGGGGGGGUUACUUUUUAUCAUUGGAGGGGGGUUUUCCUGUGAAACUAAGCGCUGAACUUGAUGUACUGUACAUUUGAUAAUUAAAGUGAACUGGAAAGAAUCAAAA